RNAcentral lists this ribosomal RNA (254 nucleotides) under uncultured bacterium. RNAcentral describes it as "partial 16S ribosomal RNA". It matches the Rfam family "Bacterial small subunit ribosomal RNA", at positions 524 to 776 of the family's 1533-position model. The record is from RNAcentral.
UACGGAGGGGGCAAGCGUUGUUCGGAUUUACUGGGCGUAAAGGGUGUGUAGGCGGCCGUGCCAGUCUGGUGUGAAAUCUCCACCGCUUAACGGGGAGAGGUCACUGGAUACUGCACGGCUCGAGUAUGGUAGAGGCAAGCGGAAUUCCUGGUGUAGCGGUGGAAUGUGUAGAUAUCAGGAAGAACAUCUGUGGCGAAGGCGGCUUGCUGGGCCAUCACUGACGCUGAGACACGAAAGCGUGGGGAGCAAACGGG